Molecule: ribosomal RNA, 253 nt
Filed under: uncultured bacterium
Lineage: Bacteria
Description: partial 16S ribosomal RNA
Rfam family: Bacterial small subunit ribosomal RNA
Source: RNAcentral
UACGGAGGGGGCUAGCGUUGUUCGGAAUUACUGGGCGUAAAGCGCACGUAGGCGGCUUUGUAAGUUAGAGGUGAAAGCCCGGGGCUCAACUCCGGAACUGCCCUUAAGACUGCAUCGCUAGAAUUGUGGAGAGGUAAGUGGAAUUCCGAGUGUAGAGGUGAAAUUCGUAGAUAUUCGGAAGAACACCAGUGGCGAAGGCGACUUACUGGACACAUAUUGACGCUGAGGUGCGAAAGCGUGGGGAGCAAACAGG